UGAAAUUCAGUUUUCCUCAAGCCCACAUCUCCAUCUUUCCUUUUAAAUACAAGAGUUGAGUGCAGCCCAGGGGUGCAGUGAUUACACAGGAGGAAUUCUCAGGAAAGAGCAUCAAAAACUGCUAUUACUUGAGAUGGAGGUUACAUUCCUGCCAUGGAUUCUGGUGCCUGCCGAUGACAACACAGGGAGAAUUUCUCCAAAGGAAAAGAAUUGGCUUGCCUUCUAGAUGGAUGUGGUCAUGGAUCCAGUCUUCUACAG
Molecule: long non-coding RNA, 258 nt
Organism: Microtus oregoni (creeping vole)
Lineage: Eukaryota; Metazoa; Chordata; Mammalia; Rodentia; Cricetidae
Exons: 3
Source: RefSeq, a predicted model, not a curated record